Molecule: ribosomal RNA, 253 nt
Filed under: uncultured bacterium
Lineage: Bacteria
Description: partial 16S ribosomal RNA
Rfam family: Bacterial small subunit ribosomal RNA
Source: RNAcentral
UACAGGGGGGGCAAGCGUUGUUCGGAAUUACUGGGCGUAAAGGGUUCGUAGGUGGCCAACUAAGUCAUACGUGAAAUCCCUCAGCUUAACCUGGGAACUGCGUCUGAUACUGGAUGGCUUGAAUUCGGGAGAGGGAUGCAGAAUUCCAGGUGUAGCGGUGAAAUGCGUAGAUAUCUGGAGGAAUACCGGUGGCGAAGGCGGCAUCCUGGACCGACAUUGACGCUGAGGAGCGAAAGCUAGGGGAGCAAACGGG